Molecule: ribosomal RNA, 174 nt
Filed under: Pseudomonas aeruginosa
Lineage: Bacteria; Pseudomonadati; Pseudomonadota; Gammaproteobacteria; Pseudomonadales; Pseudomonadaceae
Description: partial 16S ribosomal RNA
Rfam family: Bacterial small subunit ribosomal RNA (bases 41-174)
Source: RNAcentral
UGAGCCAAGUUUAGGGUUUUCUCAAAACCCAAGCAGUAUUGAACUGAAGAGUUUGAUCAUGGCUCAGAUUGAACGCUGGCGGCAGGCCUAACACAUGCAAGUCGAGCGGAUGAAGGGAGCUUGCUCCUGGAUUCAGCGGCGGACGGGUGAGUAAUGCCUAGGAAUCUGCCUGGU